Molecule: long non-coding RNA, 408 nt
Filed under: Mustela putorius furo (domestic ferret)
Lineage: Eukaryota; Metazoa; Chordata; Mammalia; Carnivora; Mustelidae
Description: lncRNA (ENSMPUG00000028579.1)
Source: RNAcentral
AGACUUAAGCAUUUGGUUUUCUUUACAUGUCACGAAAAAUUAAUCCAUUUACAGAAUCUUGGGGACUCCAAGAAAUCCAGUGACUCUCUCGAGAAGCUAAGGGUUACCUAAGAAGGGUUGUCAUCGGAGCCUUGACAUCAGCAGUCAUUGUCCCUGAUGCUUCCUUGCCCGGAAUUGUUCCUGAUGAAAUGCAAGCUCCUCCGCCCUGUGUGACUAAAGGCAUUGAAAGCAAUGAAGAAUAUGAACAGGUGGAAGAGCUGGGAGUACCCGGGGAAUAGAUUUGACAUCAACAGAACACGGAGUUUUCUCAGGUGGCUCAUCGGAUAGAAAGAAAAGAAUACAACAGUGGAAAAGGUAUUUUUAUUACACAACAGGCAAGUAUUUGUAUUAACUUGUAGAACAAGUUUG